GAUGAAGAACGCAGCGAAAUGCGAUAAGUAAUGUGAAUUGCAGAAUACAGUGAAUCAUCGAAUCUUUGAACGCACAUUGCGCCCGCCAGUAUUCUGGCGGGCAUGCCUGUUCGAGCGUCAUUUCAACCAUCAAGCCCCCGGCUUGUGUUGGGGACCUGCGGCUGCCGCAGGCCCUGAAAAGCAGUGGCGGGCUCGCUGUCACACCGAGCGUAGUAGCAUACAUCUCGCUCUGGGCGUGCUGCGGGUUCCGGCCGUUAAACCACCUUCAUAACCCAAGGUUGACCUCGGAUCAGGUAGGAAGACCCGCUGAACUUAAGCAUAUCAAUAAGCGGAGGA
RNAcentral lists this unclassified non-coding RNA (336 nucleotides) under soil metagenome. RNAcentral's name for it is "partial contains 5.8S ribosomal RNA, internal transcribed spacer 2, and large subunit ribosomal RNA". The stretch from base 1 to 120 matches the Rfam family "5.8S ribosomal RNA", at positions 35 to 154 of the family's 154-position model. The record is from RNAcentral.